AGUUAAUGUGCUAUCAUCAUUGAUAACCCUUAGGAGGGACAACAAGGGCUUCUCAAUAGUGUGCUUCUCUUCAUCAAGCUGGAGGAAGGGGUCUUCACCAUUACUUAGAGUACGUAAUUCAACCACUAGUUAAAAGUAAUGGUGUCCUCAGAUCUUAGAUCUGAAUCAUCUUCUUUAAAUGGUUCUUUAAUUCAUGGCCAAAGAAUGUCUUUCCAUAUACUCUCAGAGAGAUAGUCCUUCUUUGAGAGAAAGAUAUAAAAUUUAAUUCUAGGUCUUCUUUAACUCUGAAACUAUGUUGCCUGAAGCAACUCAUGUGCUGCCAUCAGAUUUUAUUAGGUGGGCUAAAGCAGAUUCAGAAGGAGAUUUCCUUACAUAAUGGCUGUCCCCAUGGAACCUUCAGGUAGUCAGUUAAAACUGUCUAAUGAAGAAUUUUCAAGAUCCAUAAGUACAGGAAAAAUCUUGAUGGUCUCUCUCCCUUACUGAUUCAUUGAUAGUUCUCAAACAUUGGGCUGGCACAACGAGAGUAAAAUAGUACAUUUCGCACAGUGUAAAGUGGUGGGUGUGGAUGUUUUCGGAGCCAGUCAGUCUCUGGCAGCUGACUGAGUCACACUCCUGCUUUGUUGCCCACUUACAUCUUCAGAGAGCAGCCUGGGUGGGGAUACUCAUCAAAAUGUGCUCAUUUAAGGACAAACCCAUUUGAACAUUACAACAUUUGGCAAACUUCCUCUACCGAAUGGUGAACCUGGCCCACUGCCUCUGAGAUGCUUCCGUUGCUUGGCUGGGAAACAUAGACCCUUUAACGUCCUUCAUGUGGUAGAACACAUUCAAGACCUUCCAACUAAACACCUGUCUAAGAGCCCUGAGUGUUUUACCUGUUCCUCAAACAUUAUCAAGAUCUUGGCCUGGACCAGUGGGUUACGGAUGUGCAGUGAGUCCUUUUGCAAUAUACAACUAUUUUUAAUCAUGACUGGAGAAUCCCGACGUCUUACUGAGUUCUAGUGGUCACAUGUUUCAUCAAGAAGUCAGCAAACAUCUACUGAACAAGUUCAAUGUGGAGAAUUCUGUACCAUACUUAAGGAAAUGCUCCCACUCCCUUAAGAUGUUUAUAAUCUUAUUGAGAAUGAGGGAACAACAAAAACCAUAGAGGCAAAACUGUGUGACUGCAAAACUGCUUCUAGAUCAACACAAAAGUUCUGUGGAAAAUGCCAUAAUAAGUGAGAUGAUUCUAAUCAGAGGCAUUGCUGGAUGUUCGUUGCACUGUCUUGGUCAAAGGAAGAGAAGCCACUGUGGAUCUAUGCAAACCCCCAGGGGGACAGACAGUCUGGGGACACAAAGACAACAUGGUACAAUACAAAACGAAUUGGACCAGAAUCAGGAAACCGAAGUGGACAAGAUCCUUAACUGUCCUGUGGAGCACAGGACCGGCUCCUCACGCCCUGCCCACCUGGCUUCUGAGCAAACACAGCCCAGGCUGACUUUUUCAUAGCAAAUGGAGACCCUGGCAGAUUUCAGAUCCAGAGUUCGAGAUUGUCUCAUUAGAUACUUCAUCUGAGAUCACUGAACGACUACUGAUUCUUAACUUUAUGGAGAAAGAAGGCAAUCCCACAUAAAAGAAGCAAUGUCAGUAUGCAUGUUCAGAGAAGAGACAAUGAAGAUGAGUGUGAAAGCAGCACCGCCCACAAACCGGUGAGCUGAGCCAGAGCACGGCCGCAGCCUCCCGGCGCUCAGUCACAGAGCACCACUCAUGAAGAGUCUGCAUUUCUCUACUGACCUUAUUUUUAAAUUGCACUGAAUACAAAC
Long non-coding RNA from Equus asinus (donkey), 1800 nucleotides. Lineage: Eukaryota; Metazoa; Chordata; Mammalia; Perissodactyla; Equidae. The record is from Ensembl.